GGGGCUGUGGCUCAGUGGUAGAGUGCCUGCUUUGUAAGCAGAAGGUCCCAGGUUCAAUCCCUGGCAUCUCCC
Non-coding RNA from Euleptes europaea (tarantolino), 72 nucleotides. NCBI's taxonomy places the organism in Eukaryota, Metazoa, Chordata, Lepidosauria, Squamata, Sphaerodactylidae. The record is from the annotation of a RefSeq genome assembly.